UCCUGCGCAACGUUAAUCGACGCAGGGUUAGUCGGUUCCUAAGGCGAGGCUGAAAAGCGUAGUCGAUGGGAAACAGGUUAAUAUUCCUGUACUUCUGGUUACUGCGAUGGAGGGACGGAGAAGGCUAGGCCAGCUUGGCGUUGGUUGUCCAAGUUUAAGGUGGUAGGCUGAAAUCUUAGGUAAAUCCGGGGUUUCAAGGCCGAGAGCUGAUGACGAGUCGUCUUUUAGAUGACGAAGUGGUUGAUGCCAUGCUUCCAAGAAAAGCUUCUAAGCUUCAGGUAACCAGGAACCGUACCCCAAACCGACACAGGUGGUCGGGUAGAGAAUACCAAGGCGCUUGAGAGAGCUCGGGUGAAGGAACUAGGCAAAAUGGCACCGUAACUUCGGGAGAAGGUGCGCCGGCUAGGGUGAAGGAUUUACUCCGUAAGCUCUGGCUGGUCGAAGAUACCAGGCCGCUGCGACUGUUUAUUAAAAACACAGCACUCUGCAAACACGAAAGUGGACGUAUAGGGUGUGACGCCUCCCCGGUGCCGGAAGGUUAAUUGAUGGGGUUAGCGCAAGCGAAGCUCUUGAUCGAAGCCCCGGUAAACGGCGGCCGUAACUAUAACGGUCCUAAGGUAGCGAAAUUCCUUGUCGGGUAAGUUCCGACCUGCACGAAUGGCGUAACGAUGGCGGCGCUGUCUCCACCCGAGACUCAGUGAAAUUGAAAUCGCUGUGAAGAUGCAGUGUAUCCGCGGCUAGACGGAAAGACCCCGUGAACCUUUACUGUAGCUUUGCACUGGACUUUGAGCCUGCUUGUGUAGGAUAGGUGGGAGGCUUUGAAGCGUGGACGCCAGUUCGCGUGGAGCCAUCCUUGAAAUACCACCCUGGCAUGCUUGAGGUUCUAACUCUGGUCCGUAAUCCGGAUCGAGGACAGUGUAUGGUGGGCAGUUUGACUGGGGCGGUCUCCUCCUAAAGAGUAACGGAGGAGUACGAAGGUGCGCUCAGACCGGUCGGAAAUCGGUCGCAGAGUAUAAAGGCAAAAGCGCGCUUGACUGCGAGACAGACACGUCGAGCAGGUACGAAAGUAGGUCUUAGUGAUCCGGUGGUUCUGUAUGGAAGGGCCAUCGCUCAACGGAUAAAAGGUACUCCGGGGAUAACAGGCUGAUACCGCCCAAGAGUUCAUAUCGACGGCGGUGUUUGGCACCUCGAUGUCGGCUCAUCACAUCCUGGGGCUGAAGCCGGUCCCAAGGGUAUGGCUGUUCGCCAUUUAAAGUGGUACGCGAGCUGGGUUCAGAACGUCGUGAGACAGUUCGGUCCCUAUCUGCCGUGGACGUUUGAGAUUUGAGAGGGGCUGCUCCUAGUACGAGAGGACCGGAGUGGACGAACCUCUGGUGUUCCGGUUGUCACGCCAGUGGCAUUGCCGGGUAGCUAUGUUCGGAAAAGAUAACCGCUGAAAGCAUCUAAGCGGGAAACUUGCCUCAAGAUGAGAUCUCACUGGGAACUUGAUUCCCCUGAAGGGCCGUCGAAGACUACGACGUUGAUAGGCUGGGUGUGUAAGCGUUGUGAGGCGUUGAGCUAACCAGUACUAAUUGCCC
This 1577-nucleotide ribosomal RNA is filed under the name metagenome. Its description in RNAcentral is "bacterial LSU rRNA". It matches the Rfam family "Bacterial large subunit ribosomal RNA", at positions 1353 to 2910 of the family's 2925-position model. The record is from RNAcentral.